GUGACAUACCACUUGUUGCCUCGGCGGAUCAGCCCGCUCCCGGUAAAACCGGACGGCCCGCCAGAGGACCCCUAAACUCUGUUUCUAUAUGUAACUUCUGAGUAAAACCAUAAAUAAAUCAAAACUUUCAACAACGGAUCUCUUGGUUCUGGCAUCGAUGAAGAACGCAGCAAAAUGCGAUAAGUAAUGUGAAUUGCAGAAUUCAGUGAAUCAUCGAAUCUUUGAACGCACAUUGCGCCCGCCAGUAUUCUGGCGGGCAUGCCUGUUCGAGCGUCAUUUCAACCCUCAAGCACAGCUUGGUGUUGGGACUCGCGUUAAUUCGCGUUCCUCAAAUUGAUUGGCGGUCACGUCGAGCUUCCAUAGCGUAGUAGUAAAACCCUCGUUACUGGUAAUCGUCGCGGCCACGCCGUUAAACCCCAACUUCUGAAUGUUGACCUCGGAUCAGGUAGGAAUACCCGCUGAACUUAAGCAUAUCAA
Molecule: ribosomal RNA, 477 nt
Filed under: Fusarium oxysporum
Lineage: Eukaryota; Fungi; Ascomycota; Sordariomycetes; Hypocreales; Nectriaceae
Description: eukaryotic LSU rRNA
Rfam family: 5.8S ribosomal RNA (bases 123-276)
Source: RNAcentral